This is a non-coding RNA of Trichonephila inaurata madagascariensis, 73 nucleotides long. The record is from the annotation of a GenBank genome assembly. Lineage: Eukaryota; Metazoa; Arthropoda; Arachnida; Araneae; Nephilidae.
GUCCAUGCGGAGUGAUGAACGGCGCGUUGGACUUCUAAUCCGAAGGUCGUGGGCUCGAAUCCCACCUGGGAUG